This 404-nucleotide ribosomal RNA is filed under the name uncultured bacterium. Its description in RNAcentral is "bacterial SSU rRNA". It matches the Rfam family "Bacterial small subunit ribosomal RNA", at positions 29 to 416 of the family's 1533-position model. The record is from RNAcentral.
AACGAACGCUGGCGGCGUGCCUAACACAUGCAAGCCGUGCGAGAAAGUUCCUUCGGGAGCGAGUAAAGCGGCGCACGGGUGAGUAACACGUAGGUAACCUGCCCCCCAGUCUGGAACAACUAGAGGAAACUCUAGCUAAUGCCGGAUGAGACCACGAUCCCUUCGGGGGUUGCGGCCAAAGAUGGCCUCUACUUGUAAGCUAUCGCUGAGGGAUGGGCCUGCGGGCCAUUAGCUUGUUGGUGUGGUAACGGCUCACCAAGGCUGUGAUGGCUAGCUGGUCUGAGAGGAUGACCAGCCACACUGGGACUGAGACACGGCCCAGACUCCUACGGGAGGCAGCAGUGGGGAAUAUUGCGCAAUGGGCGAAAGCCUGACGCAGCGACGCCGCGUGGGUGAUGAAGGCC